RNAcentral lists this transfer RNA (78 nucleotides) under Cypionkella sp. Its description in RNAcentral is "tRNA-Pro". It matches the Rfam family "tRNA". From Rfam's summary of the family: Transfer RNA (tRNA) molecules are approximately 80 nucleotides in length. Their secondary structure includes four short double-helical elements and three loops (D, anti-codon, and T loops). The record is from RNAcentral. Lineage: Bacteria; Pseudomonadati; Pseudomonadota; Alphaproteobacteria; Rhodobacterales; Paracoccaceae.
CGGGCCAUAGCGCAGUCUGGUUAGCGCGUCCGUCUGGGGGGCGGGAGGUCGAGAGUUCGAUUCUCUCUGGCCCGACCA